UGGGGAAUUUUGGACAAUGGGCGAAAGCCUGAUCCAGCAAUGCCGCGUGUGUGAAGAAGGCCUUCGGGUUGUAAAGCACUUUUGUCCGGAAAGAAAUCCUUGGCUCUAAUACAGUCGGGGGAUGACGGUACCGGAAGAAUAAGCACCGGCUAACUACGUGCCAGCAGCCGCGGUAAUACGUAGGGUGCAAGCGUUAAUCGGAAUUACUGGGCGUAAAGCGUGCGCAGGCGGUUUGCUAAGACCGAUGUGAAAUCCCCGGGCUCAACCUGGGAACUGCAUUGGUGACUGGCAGGCUAGAGUAUGGCAGAGGGGGGUAGAAUUCCACGUGUAGCAGUGAAAUGCGUAGAGAUGUGGAGGAAUACCGAUGGCGAAGGCAGCCCCCUGGGCCAAUACUGACGCUCAUGCACGAAAGCGUGGGGGAGCAAACAGGAUUAGAUACCCUGGUAGUCCACGCCCUAAACGAUGUCAACUAGUUGUUGGGGAUUCAUUUCCUUAGUAACGUAGCUAACGCGUGAAGUUGACCGCUUGGGGAGUACGGUCGCAAGAUUAAAACUCAAAUGAAUUGACGGGGUCAUAGCUGUUUCCU
Molecule: ribosomal RNA, 586 nt
Filed under: uncultured bacterium
Lineage: Bacteria
Description: partial 16S ribosomal RNA
Rfam family: Bacterial small subunit ribosomal RNA
Source: RNAcentral